This 664-nucleotide long non-coding RNA is filed under the name Mytilus galloprovincialis (Mediterranean mussel). The record is from RNAcentral. Lineage: Eukaryota; Metazoa; Mollusca; Bivalvia; Mytilida; Mytilidae.
AACAAAUUUGACAAAAACAAAGGUAAGAUAAGAUUAGGAUUUUUAAAUUUGAAUUCAUUUUAUAAAGUUUGAUACCCAGUAAUGACGAUGUCAAGAAAUUUACUGAGCUUUUCAUUGGCUUUAAUCAUUUUACAACAAUCAUUAAAUAUACACGUAUCAUUUAUUUAAUAUAUUAAUUGACACUUUACAAAAUAUAUAAAAUCUUAUUUCUGAUAUUUUGGUAACAUUUUCUAUUCCUAUUUUAUUUAAACAUAGAAGCCAUGUUUGAAGGUGAUUAUUAUAAAGGUCAUGAACAAUAAAAGAGAUGUAUUAUUUCAAUUUUGUUUAUUAUGCUUUCCUAUUUUUCCUAUGUUCUGUUUUUAGUAAUGGCUGGUAAUAGCUUAUCAUACACACAGCACUUUGAAGCCAGAAAAAAUUGGUUAAAAAUGAGCUUCAAUUGGUACACAAAGUGGUUUUAACAAGUGAUUUAAAGAGCAGUUUGACAGUAAAAUAAAGAUGAGAUUCCAAUAUAUAUAUAUAUAUAUAUCACAGUUUUGAAUAGCACUAUCAAGUAGUUGAUUAAAAUAACAAACAUAUUUAUGAUAAUUUCAAUUGUAUACAUAAAUGUGAGAUAAGCUAUAUGGUAAACAUUAAAAAACUAGAGGCUCUAAAGUGCCUGUGUCAC